Long non-coding RNA from Dermacentor albipictus, 503 nucleotides. RefSeq lists it as uncharacterized. Lineage: Eukaryota; Metazoa; Arthropoda; Arachnida; Ixodida; Ixodidae. The record is from RefSeq and is a predicted model, not a curated record.
ACGUUGGCGAGUCCAUCUUGCACCCUGAGAGGAGGAAACGAGCUAGCAGAGCUCAUGCGGCCAGUCUCGGCAAGAUGCGCACUGUCGUGUGGGUUUGGCUUUCGCACUUCGGGCAGCCGGUGACACCGAACGUAAGGUCGCUUCGACGCUCUCGCCCUCGGUCACGCCAGCCACCGCAAGCUUCGCUCAGAACAAGGGGUGCGCCAAGAGGAGUGAGAGGGGGAAUAGGAUAGCGGGAAGGAGAGGAGGAUGGACGGCCAUUUAUUUCAAUAGGAAGGAAGACGACUGUGCUAAUGGCUCACGAGCCACUCGGAUCCAGCAAUUUGUCUUGGGCCUCCGCUGCUGCUACGGCAGGUCGGUUUGAGCGCAGCUCGUCUAGUGAACGUCUCUAGGGAGGGAUUGCGAGCCGCAGCCGUCCUUUUUCUUUUCUUCCCUCUCUCAAUGCUGCUCCAUACCUGCAGCCAGUGUCAUCAGUCCAUAUUAAACAGCGCAAUUCUUCUUUC